AACGCACAUUGCGCCCCCUGGUAUUCCGGGGGGCAUGCCUGUCCGAGCGUCAUUACAACCCUCAAGCCUAGCUUGGUGUUGGGCUCCGCCGCCUGGCGGGCCCUAAAGUCAGUGGCGGUGCUGUCCAGCUCCGAGCGUAGUAAAUCUUCUCGCUCUGGAGGUCUGGGCAUGUGCCUGCCAGCAACCCCCCAAUUUUAUCAGGUUGACCUCGGAUCAGGUAGGGAUACCCGCUGAACUUAA
RNAcentral lists this unclassified non-coding RNA (240 nucleotides) under uncultured Chrysosporium. RNAcentral's name for it is "sequence contains ITS2". The stretch from base 1 to 52 matches the Rfam family "5.8S ribosomal RNA", at positions 103 to 154 of the family's 154-position model. The record is from RNAcentral. Lineage: Eukaryota; Fungi; Ascomycota; Eurotiomycetes; Onygenales.